Molecule: RNA transcript, 2314 nt
Organism: Helianthus annuus (common sunflower)
Lineage: Eukaryota; Viridiplantae; Streptophyta; Magnoliopsida; Asterales; Asteraceae
Gene name: deSI-like protein At4g17486
Exons: 9
Source: RefSeq, a predicted model, not a curated record
AUUUUUCUACUCUCUUUUCCCUCACACGCUCCUAUUCUUUCAUCAUCCGCUCCUCUUCAAACCCUAAUAGUCAUCUACUCUAUGGCGACUUUUCAGAAAACCCUAAAUCUCAUCCCGUUGCUUUUUCUUUUUCUCAGAAACCAUGUUGCUCACUCCCUCAACCUCAACCUAAACCUAAAUCGACAUCAUCUUCUCUGAUUUGACCUUUUCAGAAGACAAUAUAGGAAAAUCCAACAACCCAACUGUGUUUCUCCUCCGUCUGCCGAUCGAUUCUUCUCACCGACAACUUUGACACAGGGUUUGCAUAUUUUUGGGGUAGAGUCGUUUAUUGAAGUCGAUAUGAAAUAUAAAAAGUCCAAUUCAAUUGUUUUGGUAAUUUGUGACUAACAACACUAGCAGUUUUAGCUACUGCAUUCCUGGAAGAUCAUGAACUAUUGGUGUAUGCUUUCAAAGAUGCGACGUGUGCGGUUUAGAGAAAGGGUGAUGGAAAGAGAUCUGGCCACGUACCAUUCCACUUUCCACCUCACAUAUGUCAUACAAAGAGAGAGAUGGAUGUUAGAGAAGGGAGGACUCCAUCGUUAUAGAGCGAGAGAGGUACAUAAGUCUAGAGAGAGAAAAGAGAGGGAGAGGGAGAAUCGUGAGGGAGUGGCGGUUGAACACCGCACUUGGUGGCGGAGCCACCAGAUUCGGGCGCAUCUACGACCCCAAUCGACGGAACAAUGGCAGAGGGUUUAAGACAUAGAGGCUGUGUAGACGACGAUCAUGACAGCGCUUUGCAUUCUGACCAAGUCAAACCAGAUUCAGGUGAUUGCGCUCAAGCAACCUAAUAUAUCUACAUAGGCCUCUUUCUUGGAUUGAACAAGGACCAUGCUGUGACCAAGAAGGAAUGGGCUCCUCGCCCAUGUGACUAGAAAGGCGUUUGGCAUUCGUCUAUUAGUUGUGAUCAGUUUCAGGACUCCUUGCCACAAAGGCGGCGAAAGGAUGAUCGAAUCAAUGCAUGGUUUCUAUCACAUGACAUGCUGGUGUGGGCAUGAGUUAUGUUAUUUUUGUGGUGCUAAUAUGUUGAUAGUAAACUAGCAUUCAGAUGUGUCAUCGGAUACUGUCGCAGAGACGAAAGUGGCGAUUUUACUUUGACCCAUUACUCUUCUAGGGUUUCUUAUUCUUCUUCAAUUGUUCUUCAGCUCCUUCGUCAUUGUGUGAAUUCGAUCGCUGUCUUCAGCAUACAGGCUAGACUUCAUAUAUUAAUCAACUUACAUUCUUAAGUUUCUUAGAUUUUCUCACUAUUAUUUUCUUUCAUUUUUUUAUUGCAUCUGAAAUCUCAUGUCUCCUCGAAUCCUCUGUCUCUUCCACCAACAUUGGGUGUUUUUUCAUGCAAAUUUCUUCCACACAAAGUUAUUUGCAUCGAUGGAUGAAUGGCGGCAGCGUCUGCUGGAACUUGGGUUUCGGUGAAUCAAUUUCAGUGGCACGCUAUUGCCGAGGUUUGCCUUCAGCAAAAUCAUUCUUGCGUUCAGAAGAUUAUCACCAUUUCUACCACACUGCUGGCGAUCAAGGUGAUUUUAACUAUGCUUAUUGGGCCGGUGUUGGCAUCUUUCAUUCCGGUGUCCAAGUUCAUGGUGUAGAAUAUGCAUUUGGAGUACAUGACUACCCGAGUAGCGGUGUCUUUGAGGUCGAACCUCGCCAAUGCCCCGGGUUCAAAUUUAGGAGGUCGAUACUAAUCGGGACUACAUGUCUUGACCCAGUCCAAGUCCGAGAGUUCAUGGAGCUUCAUGCUGCCAACUACCAUGGCGACACGUAUCACCUCAUUGUAAAAAACUGCAACCAUUACUACAACGACAUUUGUUAUCGUUUAACAGGGAACCCAGGAUGGGUUAAUCGACUUGCUAAACUCGGUUCGAUGUAGUGCUUGGAUUCAUUCGGGUAAAGUUUCCAGGGGUAAAGUGGUUCAAAAUGCUGCUGACUUUUCUGAGUUUGGUCCUCCGUAUCUGGCUGUCCGAGUUUGGUCCCUGGUCUUCAGCACUCCGAGGUUGGAUUACAAGUGUGACAUGCUCACUGUGGCCCUCCGUGUUUGCUGGCUUUGGCUCCGGGUUUGUUGUUUUGGGGUGUAUUAUUCCCAGGUGUACGGGUUUACCCCUGGGUUUAUUUGGUUUUUGCUGCACGACAAGGAUUUAUGGAGCAAGUAUGCAGGCCCAACGAUUACCGACCCAUGACCUCCAUAUUAAUAUAUAUAUUAUAUGUUUGUGUUAAGCCACCCGCGAAGCUCGCGGGAUCUUAGGCUAGUCCUACAUAUAAUCUACAAACCCUACACAUAUCAAAA